Molecule: ribosomal RNA, 253 nt
Filed under: uncultured bacterium
Lineage: Bacteria
Description: partial 16S ribosomal RNA
Rfam family: Bacterial small subunit ribosomal RNA
Source: RNAcentral
UACGUAGGUGGCAAGCGUUGUCCGGAAUUACUGGGCGUAAAGCGCGCGCAGGCGGCCCGGUAAGUCAAAGGUGAAAUCCCUCGGCUCAACUGAGGAACUGCCUUUGAAACUGUCGGGCUUGAGGCCGGGAGGGGGUAGCGGAAUUCCUGGGGUAGCGGUGAAAUGCGCAGAUAUCAGGAAGAACACCCGUGGCUAAGGCGGCUCGCUAGUACGGGACUGACGCUGAGACGCGAAAGCGUGGGGAGCGAACAGG